CCUACGGGUGGCAGCAGUGAGGAAUAUUGGUCAAUGGGCGCGAGCCUGAACCAGCCAAGUAGCGUGAAGGAUGACUGCCCUACGGGUUGUAAACUUCUUUUUUAAAGGAAUAAAGUGCGGCACGUGUGCCUUUUUCUAUGUCCUAUAUGAUUACGGCUCGGCUAAAUCCGUGCCAGCAGCCGGGGUAAUUCGGAGGAUCUGGGGGUUAUCCGGGUUUAAUGGGUUGAAAGGGAUGGUUGGUGGGUUGUUAAAGCUGUCGUGAAAGUUUGCGGGUCAACCUUGAAGUUGCAAUUGAUACUGGUAGUCUUGAGUGCAGUUGAGGUAGGCGGAAUUCGUGGUGUAGCGGUGAAAUGCUUAGAUAUCACGAAGAACUCCGAUUGCGAAGGCAGCUUACUAAGCUGCCACUGACAUUGAGGCUCGAAAGUGUGGGUAUCAAACAGGAUUAGAUACCCGUGUAGUC
Molecule: ribosomal RNA, 460 nt
Filed under: uncultured bacterium
Lineage: Bacteria
Description: partial 16S ribosomal RNA
Rfam family: Bacterial small subunit ribosomal RNA
Source: RNAcentral